GUAGGUAUAGCUCAGUGGCAGAGCACAUGCUUAGCGUGCCUGAGGUCCUGGGUUCAAUCCCCAGUACCUCCA
RNAcentral lists this transfer RNA (72 nucleotides) under Camelus bactrianus (Bactrian camel). It matches the Rfam family "tRNA". From Rfam's summary of the family: Transfer RNA (tRNA) molecules are approximately 80 nucleotides in length. Their secondary structure includes four short double-helical elements and three loops (D, anti-codon, and T loops). Further hydrogen bonds mediate the characteristic L-shaped molecular structure. tRNAs have two regions of fundamental functional importance: the anti-codon, which is responsible for specific mRNA codon recognition, and the 3' end, to which the tRNAs corresponding amino acid is attached (by aminoacyl-tRNA synthetases). tRNAs cope with the degeneracy of the genetic code in two manners: having more than one tRNA (with a specific anti-codon) for a particular amino acid; and 'wobble' base-pairing, i.e. permitting non-standard base-pairing at the 3rd anti-codon position. The record is from Rfam by way of RNAcentral. Lineage: Eukaryota; Metazoa; Chordata; Mammalia; Artiodactyla; Camelidae. RNAcentral also lists the same sequence under 2 other names.